Molecule: ribosomal RNA, 371 nt
Filed under: uncultured bacterium
Lineage: Bacteria
Description: bacterial SSU rRNA
Rfam family: Bacterial small subunit ribosomal RNA
Source: RNAcentral
GUAGGUGGCAAGCGUUGUCCGGAAUUAUUGGGCGUAAAGCGCGCGCAGGCGGUCCUUUAAGUCUGAUGUGAAAGCCCACGGCUCAACCGUGGAGGGUCAUUGGAAACUGGGGGACUUGAGUGCAGAAGAGAAGAGUGGAAUUCCACGUGUAGCGGUGAAAUGCGUAGAGAUGUGGAGGAACACCAGUGGCGAAGGCGACUCUUUGGUCUGUAACUGACGCUGAGGCGCGAAAGCGUGGGGAGCAAACAGGAUUAGAUACCCUGGUAGUCCACGCCGUAAACGAUGAGUGCUAAGUGUUAGAGGGUUUCCGCCCUUUAGUGCUGGAGCAAACGCAUUAAGCACUCCGCCUGGGGAGUACGGCCGCAAGGCUG